RNAcentral lists this self-splicing intron (279 nucleotides) under Candidatus Wolfebacteria bacterium GW2011_GWC1_43_10. It matches the Rfam family "Bacterial large subunit ribosomal RNA", at positions 310 to 587 of the family's 2925-position model. Lineage: Bacteria; Candidatus Wolfeibacteriota. The record is from RNAcentral.
GAAGUUACAAAUUCUUUUGUUAGCCGAAGUCCCUGGGAAGGGAUACCAAAGAAGGUGAAAGUCCUGUAGGCGAAAACAAAAGAACUUCCUAGUAUGUGUCCUUAAAUACCCCGACGAACGAAAGCUUCGGGGGAAGCAUCCUGAACUAUCAGGAAAGACUAAAUACAUUUAGUGAUCGAUAGCGAACUAGUACCGUGAGGGAAAGGUGAAAAGCAGGCCGGCGAGGCCGAUGAAAUAAAACCUGAAACCAUAUGUCUACAAGGAACGGAAGUCCCAUGA